This 245-nucleotide ribosomal RNA is filed under the name uncultured Chlorophyceae. RNAcentral describes it as "partial Bacterial small subunit ribosomal RNA". It matches the Rfam family "Bacterial small subunit ribosomal RNA", at positions 46 to 289 of the family's 1533-position model. The record is from RNAcentral. Lineage: Eukaryota; Viridiplantae; Chlorophyta; Chlorophyceae.
GCCUAACACAUGCAAGUCGAGCGGAAACGAUGGUAGCUUGCUACCAGGCGUCGAGCGGCGGACGGGUGAGUAACGCGUGAGAAUCUGCCCAUUUGUGGGGGAUAACUCGGGGAAACUCGAGCUAAUACCGCAUAAUCCCUACGGGGGAAAGCAGGGGACCUUCGGGCCUUGUGCAGAUGGAUGAGCUCGCGUCGGAUUAGCUUGUUGGUGAGGUAAAGGCUCACCAAGGCGACGAUCCGUAGCUG